Molecule: ribosomal RNA, 229 nt
Filed under: uncultured bacterium
Lineage: Bacteria
Description: partial 16S ribosomal RNA
Rfam family: Bacterial small subunit ribosomal RNA
Source: RNAcentral
UGGGCAACCUGCCCCAGACUCAGGGAUAACCCCGGGAAACCGGGGCUAAUACCCGAUACUCCGAUCGAACCACAUGGCUCGAUCGGGAAAGCUCCGACGGUCUGGGAUGGGCCCGCGGCCUAUCAGCUUGUUGGUGGGGUAACGGCCUACCAAGGCGACGACGGGUAGCUGGUCUGAGAGGACGACCAGCCACACUGGAACUGAGAUACGGUCCAGACUCCUACGGGAG